This 600-nucleotide ribosomal RNA is filed under the name uncultured bacterium. RNAcentral describes it as "bacterial SSU rRNA". It matches the Rfam family "Bacterial small subunit ribosomal RNA", at positions 306 to 898 of the family's 1533-position model. The record is from RNAcentral.
AGUCACACUGGAACUGAGACACGGUCCAGACACCUACGGGUGGCAGCAGUCGAGAAUUUUUCUCAAUGGGGGAAACCCUGAAGGAGCGACGCCGCGUGGAGGAUGAAGGCUUUCGGGUUGUAAACUCCUGUCAUUUGAGAACAAUGCCCCGGCAUUAACUAUGUCGGGGUUGAUAGUAUCAGAAGAGGAAGGGACGGCUAACUCUGUGCCAGCAGCCGCGGUAAUACAGAGGUCCCAAGCGUUGUUCGGAUUCAUUGGGCGUAAAGGGUGCGUAGGUGGCGUCGUAAGUCGGGUGUGAAAUUUCGGAGCUCAACUCCGAAACUGCAUUCGAUACUGCGGUGCUUGAGGACUGGAGAGGAGACUGGAAUUUACGGUGUAGCAGUGAAAUGCGUAGAGAUCGUAAGGAAGACCAGUGGCGAAGGCGGGUCUCUGGACAGUUCCUGACACUGAGGCACGAAGGCCAGGGGAGCAAACGGGAUUAGAUACCCCGGUAGUCCUGGCAGUAAACGGUGCACGUUUGGUGUGGGAGGAUUCGACCCCUUCCGCGCCGGAGCUAACGCGUUAAACGUGCCGCCUGGGGAGUACGGUCGCAAGAUUAAA